This 460-nucleotide ribosomal RNA is filed under the name uncultured Paludibacter sp. RNAcentral's name for it is "partial 16S ribosomal RNA". Lineage: Bacteria; Pseudomonadati; Bacteroidota; Bacteroidia; Bacteroidales; Paludibacteraceae. The record is from RNAcentral.
GACUACCGGGGUAUCUAAUCCUGUUUGAUCCCCACGCUUUCGUGCCUCAGCGUCAGUUGCAUCCCAGUAAGCUGCCUUCGCAAUUGGUGUUCUGUGUUAUAUCUAAGCAUUUCACCGCUACACAACACAUUCCGCCUACCUCAUUUACACUCAAGACUAACAGUUUCAACGGCAAUUUUACAGUUGAGCUGCAAACUUUCACCGCUGACUUAUAAGUCCGCCUACGCACCCUUUAAACCCAAUAAAUCCGGAUAACGCUUGGAUCCUCCGUAUUACCGCGGCUGCUGGCACGGAGUUAGCCGAUCCUUAUUCGUAAAGUACAUACAAUAAGCUACACGUAGCUCUUUUUAUUCCCUUACAAAAGAAGUUUACAAUCCAUAGAACCUUCUUCCUUCACGCGACUUGGCUGGUUCAGGCUUUCGCCCAUUGACCAAUAUUCCUCACUGCAGCCCCCCGUAGG